RNAcentral lists this ribosomal RNA (867 nucleotides) under Diaporthe clematidina. Its description in RNAcentral is "SSU rRNA". It matches the Rfam family "Eukaryotic small subunit ribosomal RNA", at positions 195 to 1066 of the family's 1831-position model. Lineage: Eukaryota; Fungi; Ascomycota; Sordariomycetes; Diaporthales; Diaporthaceae. The record is from RNAcentral.
GAAGGGAUGUAUUUAUUAGAUUAAAAACCCAAUGCCCUCCGGGGCUCACUGGUGAUUCAUAAUAACUUCUCGANUCGCAUGGCCUUGUGCCGGCGAUGGUUCAUUCAAAUUUCUGCCCUAUCAACUUUCGACGGCUGGGUCUUGNCCAGCCGUNNNUACAACGGGUAACGGAGGGUUAGGGCUUGACCCCGGAGAAGGAGCNUGAGAGACGGCUACUACAUCCAAGGAAGGCAGCAGGCGCGCAAAUUACCCAAUCCCGACUCGGGGAGGUAGUGACAAUAAAUACUGAUACAGGGCUCUUUUGGGUCUUGUAAUUGGAAUGAGUACAAUUUAAAUCCCUUAACGAGGAACAAUUGGAGGGCAAGUCUGGUGCCAGCAGCCGCGGUAAUUCCAGCUCCAAUAGCGUAUAUUAAAGUUGUUGCAGUUAAAAAGCUCGUAGUUGAACCUUGGGCCUGGCUGGCCGGUCUGCCUCACCGCAUGCACUGGUCCGGCCGGGCCUUUCCCUCUGGGGAGCCGCAUGCCCUUCACUGGGUGUGUCGGGGAACCAGGACUUUUACUGUGAAAAAAUUAGAGUGUUCAAAGCAGGCAUAUGCUCGAAUACAUUAGCAUGGAAUAAUAGAAUAGGACGUCGCGGUUCUAUUUUGUUGGUUUCUAGGACCGCCGUAAUGAUUAAUAGGGACAGUCGGGGGCAUCAGUAUUCAAUCGUCAGAGGUGAAAUUCUUGGAUCGAUUGAAGACUAACUACUGCGAAAGCAUUUGCCAAGGAUGUUUUCAUUAAUCAGGAACGAAAGUUAGGGGAUCGAAAACGAUCAGAUACCGUUGUAGUCUUAACCAUAAACUAUGCCGACUAGGGAUCGGGCGGUGUUAU